This is a long non-coding RNA of Gavialis gangeticus (Gharial), 123 nucleotides long. RefSeq lists it as uncharacterized. The record is from RefSeq and is a predicted model, not a curated record. NCBI's taxonomy places the organism in Eukaryota, Metazoa, Chordata, Crocodylia, Gavialidae. The transcript is spliced from 3 exons.
AUUUUCAAUGACACGAACAACACCAACAGCUUACAACAUUCCAACCUCAGACUUGAUAAAACUGAAAGCAGCAACCAACCCACAAAUAUUAUCACUCUCUCCACAUACAUGCUUACCAAAACU